This is a long non-coding RNA of Bactrocera oleae (olive fruit fly), 1868 nucleotides long. RefSeq lists it as uncharacterized. The record is from RefSeq and is a predicted model, not a curated record. Lineage: Eukaryota; Metazoa; Arthropoda; Insecta; Diptera; Tephritidae.
GUGGUAUAUAGAUACAUGACUGGUUUUAAAGGAAAAGCGUACAUUCUGCUACAGUGGCUUAAGUUUUUUACAUCGACAUCAUUAAUAGAGGUCAUAUUUCGCUGUUGAAGUGUUUUUUUCUAUUAAUAGUUGAACGUAUACGUUAUUAGGGCAGAGGUACCUAAAGUUCUUUUAGUUUUUCGCUUCUGGCCAAAGAAAUCACAGCAAAGCUAUAAUUUAUCUGUCCUCAUCUCUCUAAUGUAUGUGCUCCGAUGACCACUUGUUGAUUUCAUCUCUGAGGUCGUCAUAAUUCCUCCUAAAAUCUAAUUUAUGAACGGAGCCAUACCUACACCUUAGUUCACCGUUCAAAAAAAUAUUGCUAGAUCUCAAAAUAUACAACGCAGUAUAAUCUAGCGGCAACAAAGAACUGGAAAUCCUUCCUCAAAGUUAGACUGAUCAAUAAAUUAAACCAAACAUUAACCGUUUCUAUGAGUUAACCGAUACUCAAAACCUUUGCAAAACCCUUUUAAAAUCUUUAUACCGGGCCUUUUUUGUAAAGACCUAUCUCUACCACUGAAACUUUGAAAAGCUUAUUGUUCCAGUUAUCUUAACAACACGGUCUCCUUUUAUGGGAAACAUCAAAACACACACCUCAUAUUAGUAGCGAACAGCAGCCAAGAUUAAAGCACCAUAUUUUUAUUAACAUGCUAUUUCGAUUAUCAAAGUUUAUGGCUCUGACUCUCAUCCCCGAUUGCCCCAACUCGAAAUGAAAAUUUCGCUAAAAAACAAAAAAAAAGCUGUUGACUAUAUGGUAUAAAUGUGUUUAAAGAGAAUCCGAAACCUAAAUUUCUGGCAUGAAAUGCUAUAAAAACAUUGUGAUCAAAUGACAAACGUGACUGCCGAGCCAAGACAGACGGAAUUUCAAGCCACAGCGCUGUCAAAUUGGCUUUUAUGAUAUUUUCACUAAACACAAACGGAGACUGUGUCCCUAAACGCCAACUUUCGUGGGAGGGACGGCGGAGCUGUUUGGAAAUGGCUAUUUGGCAAAGGGUGAUAACGACAGGCGGGUGUAAGCUUCGAUUGUAGAAAACAAGCAGCAGCUGACGGCCGUGAAUCAUGCCAUCCAACGUAGCAGCGAGAAAUUUGGAAGAGUACGGGAAAUACAAACAUACGCUGGCAUAUGCUUUUGAAAGUGUCGAAAGUGGAGUAACCAUGAAUGAGAGUGAGAGUACGCGCAGCAGGGCCCAUUGAGAGAUAAAAAUAAUCAUUCGCAUGUGCAAAAUUAUUUAGAUGCCAACAAAAACAAAUGUUAGCAGCAGUUGCGGUAAAUACAUUAUAUAACACUUAUCAAUAAAAAUGCAAAUGUGCGCACACACCCACAUGCAAAUAUUCCAUGAAUGCGAAAUGUAAUGCAAUUGUGAUGUGAUGUGCGGCAAUAUCUAAUUCAAUUAAACAAUUAAACUGCAAUGUACAACGAAAAUAGCAAAAGCAAAGAAAAGAAAAAAGAAAGAAAUAAAUUCAAUUAACAACCAAAUCGAAAUGCAGCAAUUUGGAAAAAUUGUGGGUCGGAGAGACGGCAAGAAAUUGCAUUUAAGCGCUGGCAGGCCAAAUAAAAUGGCAAGAAAAUUGCAAUGUGUUAAACGAAAAUUAAUGGAAAAUAUACAAAUAUAUGAUCUACAUGCGGUAGGAGGUUUAACAGUUGGGAGAAAUAUGACUAUAAAAUAAUGCAUUUUUUUGUACCCAGUUUUCUAUUCAGAGACCGUCUUCGUGAAAGCUACAUACAUAUAUACAUAUGGUGGCUUGAUGUCUGAUAGAUUUCAAAUCACGAUAUUUAAAAUAUAAUCAACCUGGAUACGUUGCGUUUUGAAUAUACCGAGCUUUAAAAUUAA